Molecule: ribosomal RNA, 451 nt
Filed under: uncultured bacterium
Lineage: Bacteria
Description: partial 16S ribosomal RNA
Rfam family: Bacterial small subunit ribosomal RNA
Source: RNAcentral
AACGAACGCUGGCGGCAGGCUUAACACAUGCAAGUCGAACGGAUGUAGCAAUACAUCAGUGGCAGACGGGUGAGGAACACGUGGGAAUAUUCCUUUCAGUUCGGAAUAACGUUGGGAAACUAACGCUAAUACCGGAUACGUCCUUCGGGAGAAAGAUUUAUCGCUGAAAGAUUAGCCCGCGUCUGAUUAGCUAGUUGGUGAGGUAAUGGCUCACCAAGGCGACGAUCAGUAGCUGGUCUGAGAGGAUGAUCAGCCACAUUGGGACUGGGACACGGCCCAAACUCCUACGGGAGGCAGCAGUCGGGAAUAUUGGACAAUGGGGGCAACCCUGAUCCAGCAAUACCGCGUGUGUGAAGAAGGCCUGCGGGUUGUAAAGCACUUUUAGUGGGGAAGAUAAUGACGUUACCCACAGAAACAGCACCGGCUAACUCCGUGCCAGCAGCCGCCGUAA